RNAcentral lists this ribosomal RNA (433 nucleotides) under uncultured bacterium. RNAcentral's name for it is "partial 16S ribosomal RNA". It matches the Rfam family "Bacterial small subunit ribosomal RNA", at positions 29 to 507 of the family's 1533-position model. The record is from RNAcentral.
AACGAACGCUGGCGGCAUGCCUAACACAUGCAAGUCGAACGAGACCUUCGGGUCUAGUUGCGCACGGGUGCGUAACGCGUGGGAACCUGCCCUUAGGUUCGGAAUAACUCCCCGAAAGGGGUGCUAAUACCGGAUAAUGUCUUCGGACCAAAGAUUUAUCGCCUUUGGAUGGGCCCGCGUUGGAUUAGCUAGUUGGUAGGGUAAAAGCCUACCAAGGCGACGAUCCAUAGCUGGUCUGAGAGGAUGAUCAGCCACACUGGGACUGAGACACGGCCCAGACUCCUACGGGAGGCAGCAGUGGGGAAUAUUGGACAAUGGGCGAAAGCCUGAUCCAGCAAGGCCGCGUGAGUGAUGAAGGCCUUAGGGUUGUAAAGCUCUUUUACCCGGGAUGAUAAUGACAGUACCGGGAGAAUAAGCUCCGGCUAACUCCGUG